This 253-nucleotide ribosomal RNA is filed under the name uncultured bacterium. RNAcentral describes it as "partial 16S ribosomal RNA". It matches the Rfam family "Bacterial small subunit ribosomal RNA", at positions 524 to 776 of the family's 1533-position model. The record is from RNAcentral.
UACGUAGGGUGCGAGCGUUGUCUGGAAUUAUUGGGCGUAAAGCGCGUGUAGGCGGCUUGGCAAGUCGGGUGUGAAAGCCCUGGGCUCAACCUAGGAAGUGCACUCGAAACUGCUUGGCUUGAGUACUGGAGAGGGAAGCGGAAUUCUCGGUGUAGAGGUGAAAUUCGUAGAUAUCGAGAGGAACACCGGUGGCGAAGGCGGCUUCCUGGACAGUAACUGACGCUGAGACGCGAAAGCGUGGGGAGCAAACAGG